This 348-nucleotide ribosomal RNA is filed under the name uncultured fungus. RNAcentral describes it as "eukaryotic LSU rRNA". The stretch from base 1 to 71 matches the Rfam family "5.8S ribosomal RNA", at positions 84 to 154 of the family's 154-position model. The record is from RNAcentral. Lineage: Eukaryota; Fungi.
GUGAGUCAUCGAGUCUUUGAACGCACCUUGCACCCUCUGGUAUUCUGGAGGGUAUGCCUGUUUGAGUGUCAUGAAAUCAUCAACCUUGGCUUUGAGUCUUCUCUCAAGGCCUGGGCUUGGACUUGGGCGCUUUGCUGAUGAACAAUCGGCUCGCCUUAAAUCUGUUAGCUGAAUCCGUCAGAAACUCGGUUCCACUCGGUGUGAUAAGCAUCUUCACUGAGGACGUUCCCCUAGGGAACGGCCGAGCUUCCAACCUCGAUUUGCUCUCGAACCACAAAAAUUCUUGACAACCUGGCCUCAAAUCAGGUAGGACUACCCGCUGAACUUAAGCAUAUCAAUAAGCGGAGG